CGAAGUGUGGCUCAGUUUGGUAGAGCGCUGCGUUCGGGACGCAGAGGUCGCAGGUUCAAAUCCUGUCACUUCGA
Molecule: transfer RNA, 74 nt
Filed under: Blautia obeum
Lineage: Bacteria; Bacillati; Bacillota; Clostridia; Lachnospirales; Lachnospiraceae
Also listed under: 13 other names
Description: tRNA-Pro
Rfam family: tRNA
About the family: Transfer RNA (tRNA) molecules are approximately 80 nucleotides in length.
Source: RNAcentral